This 60-nucleotide transfer RNA is filed under the name Syllis sp. JYC-2022. RNAcentral's name for it is "tRNA-Thr". The record is from RNAcentral. Lineage: Eukaryota; Metazoa; Annelida; Polychaeta; Phyllodocida; Syllidae.
GUCCGAAUAGUUUAAGUAAAACAUUACACUUGUACUGUAAAAUUGAUAGUUCUUCGGAAU